UGAGACGUGAUGCGUAGCCGUUUGAGGCGAAGUAGAGUGAUCCUAUGCUGCCGAGAAAAGCCUCUAGUGAGUGCAUGCACGGCCCGUACCCCAAACCAACACAGGUGGUCAGGUAGAGAAUACCAAGGCGAUCGGGUGAACUGUGGUUAAGGAACUCGGCAAAAUGCCCCCGUAACUUCGGGAGAAGGGGGGCCAAACAUCCUGAAGCUCUUUUCGAGCUAGGGGUGGGUGGCCGCAGAGACCAGCGGAAAGCGACUGUUUACUAAAAACACAGGUCCAUGCGAAGUCGCAAGACGAUGUAUAUGGACUGACGCCUGCCCGGUGCUGGAACGUUAAGAGGACCGGUUAGCCAGUAAUGGCGAAGCUGAGAAUUUAAGCGCCAGUAAACGGCGGUGGUAACUAUAACCAUCCUAAGGUAGCGAAAUUCCUUGUCGGGUAAGUUCCGACCUGCACGAAUGGCGUAACGACUUUCCGGCUGUCUCAACCACAGGCCCGGCGAAAUUGCACUACGAGUAAAGAUGCUCGUUACGCGCGGCAGGACGGAAAGACCCCGGGACCUUUACUAUAGUUUGGUAUUGGUUUUCGGUUCGGCUUGUGUAGGAUAGGUGGGAGACUGUGAAGUGGUCACGCUAGUGGCUGUGGAGUCGUUGUUGAAAUACCACUCUGGUCGAAUUGGGAAUCUGAACCUCGGGCCAUGAUCUGGUUCAGGGACAGUGCCUGAUGGGUAGUUUAACUGGGGCGGUUGCCUCCUAAAGAGUAACGGAGGCGCCCAAAGGUUCCCUCAGCCUGGUUGGCAAUCAGGUGUUGAGUGCAAGUGCACAAGGGAGCUUGACUGUGAGACAGACAUGUCGAGCAGGGACGAAAGUCGGGACUAGUGAUCCGGCACCUCCUGGUGGAAGGGGUGUCGCUCAACGGAUAAAAGGUACCCCGGGGAUAACAGGCUGAUCUUGCCCAAGAGUCCAUAUCGACGGCAUGGUUUGGCACCUCGAUGUCGGCUCGUCGCAUCCUGGGGCCGGAGUAGGUCCCAAGGGUUGGGCUGUUCGCCCAUUAAAGCGGCACGCGAGCUGGGUUUAGAACGUCGUGAGACAGUUCGGUCCCUAUCCGCCGCGCGCGUAGGAUACUUGAGGAAGGCUGUCCCUAGUACGAGAGGACCGGGACGGACGAACCUCUGGUGUGCCAGUUGUUCUGCCAAGGGCAUGGCUGGUUGGCCACGUUCGGAAGGGAUAACCGCUGAAGGCAUCUAAGCGGGAAGCCUGUUCCAAGAUGAGGUAUCCCACCCCUUUGUGGGUUAAGGCCCCCAACAGACCAUUGGGUUGAUAGGCCAGAAAUGGAAGCACAGUAAUGUGUUGUCGAGUUGACUGGUACUAAUAGGCCGAGGACUUGCCUAC
RNAcentral lists this ribosomal RNA (1388 nucleotides) under Amycolatopsis mediterranei. RNAcentral's name for it is "bacterial LSU rRNA". It matches the Rfam family "Bacterial large subunit ribosomal RNA", at positions 1557 to 2925 of the family's 2925-position model. The record is from RNAcentral. Lineage: Bacteria; Bacillati; Actinomycetota; Actinomycetes; Pseudonocardiales; Pseudonocardiaceae.